RNAcentral lists this long non-coding RNA (11137 nucleotides) under Lactuca sativa (garden lettuce). RNAcentral describes it as "long non-coding RNA (LSAT_LNC009908)". The record is from RNAcentral. Lineage: Eukaryota; Viridiplantae; Streptophyta; Magnoliopsida; Asterales; Asteraceae.
CUCGGGUGCAUCGGACCACGACUGGGAGGGCCCAGUCAGCUGGUCCUCUGUGGCUAAAAUUAAAGAGACCUCAGCUCUUACUGUAGUGUGGUCGUAUUCCCUACUGGUGACUUUAUCCCCAAAUAUCGGGUGCCCGAGGGGGCAUGGGGUCACCGGGGCCCACACUAUAAGUCGGUGCCCUGGAUUUACAUGGAGGAUUGAUGUCAUUGGAUUCUACAUCCGUGUCGUCAUUGUCAGUGCCCUCUGGCUCUUCCUCUUCGGGGUCCACUUACUGACUCGGCGGAUUCGCCUACGAGUUCUACUUCGUGUUCCUCCUGUGGUUCUUUCUCUGGGUCGUGCCACCCGACUAUUCCUUGACUAGGGAGGUAGGAUUUCCUGGCUAAUGAUACUCAUUUGUAGCGUAUUGCACGAAGGGCUAUGAAUACUAGAAACAAAUAGCAUACCAAUCACUCCUAUAACUCUACGACUAUUGCAUAGAUUCAGUUGAGGUUCCUUUCUUGGAGAUUAAGGGGUAUGAUUUUAGGUUCCUAGCUAUCACGAUUUCUUCACGACAUGUGAUGGUUGUACCUUGGAGGGAAUGUAGUUGAUCAGGCUACAUCCGCUCCUUGAUACAACUAAGAACAGUCCUGAAUUAACCGAGAUACUAGCAUUAUCUUGUUUGGUUCGGUGUUAGGUUCUCGUUCCUAAUGCAAGCAAGGGUGUUUUAUUUACUUGUUUUGUUCAGAGUUAUGUUAGUCCCUCUUUUGGUUUAUAGUUGCAUAUCAAUGUGUGGCUAGACAUGCUAGUUCACUAUAAACAAAGCUCUGAUACCAACCUGUCACACCCCCGAACCAGACGGCGGAAACGUCCGGGAGCUGUUGUGACUCAAUUGAAUACCAUCACAAUGAAUAUACAUGAAACAUAACAUCAUUCGUCACCAACAUUUGAAUAUUACAACUGAUAGCGUUUACAUUUAGUACAUUGUUCCCUAACAUUACAUGCCCAAAAAGUAGAUUGUUCGGUGCUAAUUAAACAAGCAGCAAAACGUCACUGAGUACACUUAUCCCUUCGAUUUAUCUGUUACCUGAGAAUACAAGUAUUUUGAAAAACGUCAACAUAUGAAAUGUUGGUGAGUUCAUAAGCGGUAUUUGAAAACCAACGUUUUGUAUUAUUUUGAAAAACCACCAGAAAAUCCGAUAUUUUCUGAAAAGAGUAUUUGAAAACGUUUGUGAAGAUCCAUAAGUAUGCUUGUUUGUUUCUAUAGUUGUAAAGAAAAUGUUCAUCAUACUUGUGUACGUUUUGAAAACCGUAUGUAUUGAAAAACCCUAGGAAAACCCGAUGUUUUCCUAAUUCUUUGAAUUCCAUGAAGUUAAAAUGAAACCAUUGCAACGCGUGAAGUUAUCAAUUCCAGGCGACGUCGGAUUAUUUUUGAGCAUGAUUAAUUGCUAUAAACACGCGUUACACAAACGACCAGUUUAUAACUAUACUAACGAUCCCGUAGGCGUCGUCCGUACUAAUCACGUUAUCCAACCGCCCUGACUACGUGUAGUCCCACAUCCGAAGAGAAAGAGGACACGAAGACCUCGAUGACUCCAUUAACCGGUUGGGGAUAAAAAAAAAAGUACGAGGGGUCCCAGACCCGCCUCGCAUGAAAUGUAGACUUUACUAGCAAUACCAAAGGACCCUUGGGGACCAGUAGUAUACAAGCCAUUGAAAGUCCUUUUACGUUGUGUUAGAUCGGUAAAACCCAACACUUCGUAAGAUAGAGGUCUUCGGGCCUUAAGAUCAGGUCAUUGGGCUAGCUAGGCCCAACAAACAAGAUUUUACACUUUUGGGGCCCAAAGAUGGUGCGUAGACGUCUGUGCACACUCGCAUGUAUAUUGAAUUCCCAAACGUUACUUGUAUGAAUCGUAGUGUCGUAGUGUCGUAGUGUCGUAGUGUCGUCGUGUUAGUAGUUUCGGAUUUUUAUUGGUUCGAGACCGAACCAAUUCGUUUAACAACGACUUUUGGUAUUGUAAUGUAUUGUAUUUCGUCGAUAGUCGCGGUGCCAUUAUUUGAUCAAAUUGCGUGUAUUGAAUUAGCCUUGGAAGUUUUCUGUUUUCAGCCCCUCAUUGUUUGUAAAAUUUACUUUUUCAACCCUUUAAUUAAAUAACUUUCCGGUUUGGUCCUUAAAUCAUUUUUCUUGACAUUUUAACACCAAAAAUUAUUGAAAUUAAUAUUUUUCAGCAUAUUUUUCAUUGAAAACAGUUUAAGUCCCUGAAAAUGCAGUUUUCUCGGUUAUAACCCCUCUUUUUCGCAAUUUUGACAAUUUUGGCCCAAAUUGGAAAAUUUUUGCAACUUUGGUCCUUUUUAAAUUUAAAAAGCAUUUUAAACCUUUGAAAAGGACUUGGAACACUUAUAGUCCACUGUUUUACAGAAAAACACAGUUUUGGCCCUCCAAAACAGAAAAUCUCGCAUAAUGGGCCUCAUUGGGCCGAAAAUGUCAUUUUUAGCCCAUUAAGCUUGAAAUUUAUGUUUUUAAUCCUCCAAAUGAGUAUAUUUCCAGAAAUUGUUUUAUUGAAACUGUUUUAACACACCUCAUCCAUCAGAAUUCGUGAUAUGUCAAUUUGGGCCCUUAAUUUUGUAUUUUUCACAUUUUAGGCCCAAAAUUUGUGUUUUUAACCCAAAGAAAAUUGUUACUAAACCACUUAGCCAUUUUUCUUGAAGCACUUUGUGUUUAGAAAUAUAUUUGAAGCUAAAAUCAUUUAACACAAGAUAUAUCUCGGUUUUGAUGGGUUUUAAGGCUAGAUCCAACAUAAAAACACAUAAAAGCAUACAUAUAAGCAUGGAAAUCAUACAAGGCAUACAAAACACAUAUAGAUCUACACUUUCACUUGUAUUCCCCCCCCCACAAAACUCAUAAAAACAGAAAAUAGGGGGUAUGAAGCUCACCUUAGGGUGUGAUUUCGGUUUUUGAAGAAAAGAUGGAAGAAAACUUGGUGAUUUUUGGCCUUAGCACCCUUUUCUUGAAGAUCUCGAGUUUGAGAUGGUUCUAGGAUGCAAGAUCACGAUUUUUGCAUAGAUUAGGAAAGGAUUUUGAUAAAACAAAGAAUUUAAUUCAUAGAUCCAAGCAUAACCUUACCUUGGAUGAAGAGUUGGUGGAAAUAUCCUCUUGAAAGCCUCCUAAUUUUCGAGAUUUUUGAGUGGAGAGGGAGGGAUGUUCUUGAGAGAGUUUGAGAGAUUUUUGUGAGUGUGUGUGUGUGUGAGUAUGGCCGAGAGUGAGAGAGAGAGGAAGAAGAAAUGAUAUUUGAGGUGAUGUUUGCAUGGAGAUAUGAGUUUCUUGCAUGGAAGUCCUUUGGUUAAUAGUGAGGUGGCAUGAGAAAGUCAAACCUUUCUCUUGGGCUUGAUUUGGGCCGAAAAUGUUGGAGGAAAAAGAGAAUGUUUGGGCUUUAAAUACUUAAGCCCAAUUUUCAUGGUUAAGUUGAGUGAUUUUUGGUCCAAAUAAAUUUAAAGGUGAUUUUUAUGACUAGUUAGGGUCAAAUUAGGUUAAUUAUGGUUCAUAGUCAUUAAUUUAUUUCAUUCUAGGCCCAAUAUGGCCCAAAAUGUUGAAAUAAAUUAGUGUGGGUCCAAUUAGAGCCCAAUUAGGGUUCUAAGCCCAUGAUAGUCUAAUUGGAAGCUUAUUGGUCCAUUUGGAUCCAAUAAGGAAGUCCUAGUCCAAAAUGGACUUAAACAAGGACUUCUAGGGUCUCCAAUUGUUUGAUGACUAUUUGUAGUACUUGCAUGAUGUAUUUGAUUGAAGUUUUUGAUGUCAUAAUAGUAGGUGUUACACAUGUUCUUAAGUUUUUGAUUCACAUUAACUUGAGUGUAUAGAUUACAUGACACAAAAUUUCCAGUUGUGACAUCAUCCCCCCGUUAGAGGGAAUUUCGUCCCGAAAUUCUGUUUGAAAGCUAGAUUUGAGAAUGCUAGAAUAGGUGAGGGUACUUUUGCUUCAUUUGAUCUUCGCGUUCCCACGUGAAUUCUGGCCCACGCUUUGCGUUCCACCGUACCUUCACGAUCGGGAUGCGACUUUGCUUAGUACGCUUCACCUCCCUGUCCAUGAUUUCGAUUGGUUCUUCGACGAACAGGAGAUUCUCAUUGAUUUCGAUUUCGUCAAGAGGAAUGACAAGGGUUUCAUCUGAUAGGCACUUCUUCAGAUUAGAGACAUGAAACACGGGGUGUACACCGUUUAGCUCCGCGGGUAGUUGUAGUCUGUAUGCUACUGGGCCUAUUCGGGCGACGAUUUCGAAAGGUCCAAUGUAUCGCGGGUUCAGCUUUCCCCGUUUUCCGAAACGUAUAACCCCUUUCCAGGGUGAGACUUUCAACAAUACUCGAUCACCGACCUGGAAUUCUAAGGGCUUUCGCCGUUUAUCGGCGUAGCUCUUUUGUCGGUCACGCGAUGCUUGUAAUCGAGCUCUGAUCUGAACGAUCUUUUCUGUGGUUUCGCGAAUGAUCUCCGGUCCUGUUAGUGCCCUGUCCGACGUAUGCGUUCUUGCUAGCUGGGUGUCACCUACUUCAGCCCAACAUAACGGUGAUCUACAUUUACGCCCGUACAGUGCUUCGAAAGGGGCCACCUUGAUGCUCGAAUGAUAACUAUUGUUAUAUGAGAAUUCGAUCAACGGCAGGUGGGUAUCCCAAGACUUUCCAAAGUCUAUCACACAUGCACGAAGCAUGUCUUCAAGCGUCUGAAUGGUUCGUUCGCUUUGACCGUCCGUUUGUGGGUGAUACGCGGUGCUCAUAUCAAGAUGAGUUCCCAUUGCCUUGUGGAGCGACUGCCAAAAGCGUGACGUGAACCUACUGUCCCUAUCCGAGAUGAUAGAUUUUGGCACUCCAUGAAGUCUUACGAUCUCUCGUAGGUACAAACGCGUCAGCCUCUCCAUCUUGUAGGACUCUUUGAUUGGCAGGAAAUGGGCAGAUUUCGUCAGUCGGUCGAUUAUUACCCAUAUGGUGUCCAAUCCGUCCGACGUCUUGGGCAGCUUGGUCACGAAAUCCAUAGAAAUCCCCUCCCAUUUCCACUCAGGGAUUGCCGGUUGCUGUAACAAUCCGGAAGGUUUCUGGUAUUCCACUUUUACUUUGGCGCACGUAAGGCACUUACUAACAUAAGUCGCGAUUUCCGCCUUCAUGUUAGGCCACCAAUAGUGCUGCUUAAUGUCCAAAUACAUCUUGUCCGAACCAGGAUGAAUGGAGUAUCGUGUCUUGUGGGCUUCCUUCAUAACGGUCUCCCUAAAUCCUCCGAUUUUUGGGACCCAAAUACGGUUCAUGAAGUAGUAUACCCCAUUCUCUUUGACUUCCAGGUUCUUCUCCAUUCCGCGUAAUGCCUCGCUAGUUCUAUUUUCCGCUUUCAUAGCCUCUGCCUGGACUGAUGCAAUUUGAGUGGUCAGAUGAGACUGAAUGGUUAUCGAGUGCGUUUUCGUACGGCGAUUUGUGUAUUCCUUCCGACUUAAUGCGUCAGCUACCACGUUGGCCUUGCCUGGAUGGUACUUGAUCUCGCAUUCGUAGUCGUUUAACAAUUCCACCCAUCUUCGUUGUCUCAUGUUCAGCUCCUUCUGAUUCAAGAUGUGCUGGAGGCUCUUGUGGUCCGUGAAGAUGGUGCACUUUGUACCGUACAGGUAGUGCCUCCAAAUUUUUAGAGCGAAGACCACGGCUCCCAGUUCUAGGUCAUGGGUCGUGUAAUUUACUUCGUGCGUCUUUAGUUGGCGGGACGCAUAUGCUAUCACUCUUCCACGUUGCAUGAGAACGCAACCUAAGCCUUGAUUUGACGCGUCACAGUAAACUACAAAAUCUUCCGUUCCUUCAGGUAGAGAUAGUACAGGAGCGCUGCAAAGAGCUUGCUUCAAGGUUCGAAACGCAAUCUCUUGUCGGUCUGUCCACUUGAAUGGCACACUCUUUUGCGUAAGCAAGGUAAGUGGCUUGGCGAUUUUUGAGAAGUUUUGGAUGAAUCUUCUAUAGUAGCCUGCUAGGCCUAAGAACUGACGAAUUUCUGUGGGCGUAGUCGGAGUUGCCCAUCCUUCCACAGCUUUGACCUUAGAGGGAUCCACAUGAAUUCCAUCUUGGCUAACUACGUGGCCUAGGAAAUUCACACUCCGAAGCCAGAACUCGCACUUGGAGAGUUUGGCGUAAAGCUUUUCCGUGCGCAGAGUCUCUAAAAUUUGUCGGAGAUGUCGGCCAUGCUCCUCUUUGCUUCGAGAAUAGACGAGGAUGUCAUCGAUAAACACAAUGACGAAGUUGUCCAGGAACGGUCGACAGAUUCGAUUCAUUAGGUCCAUAAAUGCGGCAGGUGCAUUUGUUAGACCGAAGGGCAUUACGACGAAUUCAUAAUGUCCAUAGCGGGUUCGGAAAGCGGUUUUAGGAAUAUCCUCUUCUCGGACUUUGAGUUGGUGGUAUCCGGACCGUAAAUCUAUUUUAGAAAAAUAGCUAGCUCCUUGGAGCUGGUCGAAUAGAUCAUCGAUUCGCGGGAGUGGGUAGCGGUUUUUAACAGUGAGUUUAUUUAACUCUCUGUAAUCGAUGCACAUUCUGAAAGAUCCGUCCUUCUUUUUGACAAAGAGCACCGGAGCUCCCCAUGGCGAGUAGCUAGGUCGGAUAAAUCCCUUGUCCAGAAGCUCACUGAGUUGGCUGGAUAAUUCCUGCAUUUCAGCAGGUGCCAACCGAUAUGGUGAUUUAGCGAGGGGAGUUGCUCCUGGAACGAGGUCGAUUCGGAAUUCAACCUGUCUCUCUGGGGGUACUCCUGGAAGAUCUUCGGGAAACACGUCCGGAAAUUCACACGCUACCGGAAUGUCUUGGAUGUUAGUUUCUUCUUUGGUCUUGUCCACUAUGUGAGCCAAGAACGCCAAAUUGUUCUUUCGCAAGUGUUUUUGCGCUUUGAUGCACGAGAUGAGGCGGAGAUUCGUACUGGGUUUGUCUCCGUAAAUUACUAGGGUUUCGUGAUUUGGGAGACGAAGGCGAACGGCCUUCUCGUGGCACAUAAUCUCAGCAUGGUGGGGGCUUAACCAAUCCAUGCCGAUAAUCACAUCGAAACUCCUAAUUGAUACUGGCAUUAGGUCUAUUCGAAAGACGUGCUGGUUAAGGGUUAGGGUACAUCCGAUGUAGAUCUCCCUAGUGGAUUCGGUUUUCCCAUUGGCCAUUUCCACCGUAUAGGUUUCAUUUAGCUUCUGGGGUUGUUGUUUUAGUAAAUGUUUAAACUUCUCGCUUACGAAACUUCGCUCCGCUCCGGUAUCAAAUAAGAUGCAUGCAUAAGUGUGGUUUAGGAGAAACGUACCGGUCACAACUGCGGGAUCUUGAACUGCAUCACUCUGACCCAUAGUCAGCAUUCUUCCUGUUCCUCUGUUUCCGGAGUUGUUGUUGUUGUUAGGGCAAUCUCGACGGAAAUGUCCCGUCCUUCCACACCCGAAACAGGUGUGGCUAGGCCCUGCGUUGUUGCCGCCGGCAUUGGUGUUGUUGAUGUUGCGGUGAUUGUUGUUGUUGUUCUGGUUGUUUCCCUGACUCUGGUUCUGAGAAGGAUAAGUCCUGCAGAACUUUGCAGUGUGUCCCCUUCGGUUGCAACUGGUGCAAUGGAACUCCUUACAUUCUCCAUGAUGAUGGAAACUGCACUUAUUGCACUUGGGAGCGCUACCAGAAUAGGGCCUUGAAGCAUUUGAAGCAGCUGAGGCUGGAGCAUGUGAGGUGACUGGAACCGGCGCAGUAACAGCGUUAACUGCCACUGUUUGUUGCCUUUUUGAGGUCUCGGGGCCCUGACGCCCCUUUCUUUUGUGGUUCCAUCCCUUCUUACCAUCCCCCUCCUUCUUCUUCUCGGUCUCCACUGGUUUUUCGCCCUUUUUGUGGUUAUGAUCAUAUAGCCUCUUUGCCAAUCUCUUCGCGCUGUCAAACGUUUCAGGGUUAGCAGCUAUCACAUUCCCUUGAAUGGGGGAUGUCAGUCCCCAGAUGAAUCGUUCAAUCUUCUUUCCCUCUGAUGUGAUCAUACCCGGGCACAACAGGGAUAGUUCGCUGAAUCUCGAUAUGUAAGCAUCGAUGUUCCCAUUCUGCACCGUGAGAUUCCAAAGCUCCUGCUCCAUCUUCUGUAUUUCACCUCGGGGGCAGUACUCAGCCGUCAACAUCUCUUUCAUUUCUGUCCAGGGUAUAGAGUUGGCAACAGGGAGUGUCAUAGCUUCUAUGUGACCAUUCCACCAAGUGAGUGCUUGGUCCACAAAAGUGCAGGCCGCGAACUUCACCUUCAUCUGCUCGGGGCACUCGCAUAUCUCGAACACCGACUCUACCUUCUCGAUCCAUCGCUUUAGAGCGAUCACUCCCCCAGUGCCGUUGAAAGUUCGGGGUUUAGCGUUCGCAAAAUCCUUGUAGGUGCACGUUUUAGUGAGUCCUUGGUUCGUCCCGUUGUUCGAACUUCCGGAGCCUUGACCAUUGCCUCCUCCAUUGUUUCCUCGGUGAAGUUGUGCCAUAGCUGCUGUGACCGCAGCAGACACGGCUGCCUGGAAAGCAGUGGAGUCAACUUCGGGCGGGAUUGGUUCGGGAUUUCCGCGAGUAGCUGGGCGAGGCAUCUUUCUGUCAUGAAACGGAAAGAUGUUGAGUGUACGUGGUUUCGGUGAGGUUAUGAUCCUACUAACUAGGUGUAGGGUACGAACCUAAGCAUUACUAUCAUCAAGCAUACAAUCAUAACGCCUCAACAUAUAACAACUGAGAAUAUCAUAGCAAAACACACAAAAGUUUAUUAAUAUUAUCCGUGUUUAGUACAAGAAAAUUUGCUCGUAAGAGCAUACAUAAGUAACACUAAUCCGACAGCAUAACGGCUCCAUGAGUAGUGUAGUCACUUAAACAUAGAGCCGGAGUACAUAACAUAGUUACUAAUAUCCUACUACGAUAGGUCUAUCCCUAACCGCGAUGAGCUGCGUCAGGAGGUGGUGCCGAAGUCAUAUGCCGAAAUGUUGCGCCAGUAGCUGCGCCAUCUCUGCCAUGUCUCCUAUAACUUCAUCCCUCUCGUGCUCUGCUCUCACUGCCCGAGCUUCCAUAGCAUACAGCUGUUGUCGCAGUGCGGCGAUCUCAGCUUCGAGGGAACGGUUCUCCCUUGGGGGGUUCACUGGUGGAGCGGGGUGAUCUGGUUGUGCCUCGUCCUCGCAUGGCGGGAUGGGGUCCUGGCCCCCGACCUGACCCUCCUCGUCGUCAUCGUCGACCUCUCCAAAUUCGUAGUCGGUGUCUAUAUAUUCGUCGGGUUCGACGUCGUGUGCUUCUCCUGGAUGCUCUCCCGGCUCAUCCACCAGCAUCCCGUGAGCUACUAAGGCCUGAUGAAACUGGAUACCCGGCUGCUCCUCCUCAGGCUCCUCCUCCUCCUCUAGCCACCCGUUGUUUCCCUGAUUAGGGAAGUAGGGGUCUCCAGGGUGAUGAAAACCAGCCAUGCUGUCUGCGCGAGUACGUAAUUAUGCUACAUUAUUCCUAGGGUACUAUGACUAUUACACAGACUAAGCAAAUAUUCUCUUUUUGGGUGAUAUAGGGUAAAAUUUUUAGGUUCCCUGGCUAUUCCGAUCUCAUCAAGACAUGUGUUAGUUUUACCUUGGAGAGAAUGUAGUUGAUCAGGCUACAUUCACUCCUUGGUAUCACUAAGAACAGUCCCGAAUUAACCGAGAUACCAGUAUUAUGGUGUUUGAUUCAGCGUUAGGUCCUUACUCCUAAUGCAAGCAAGUGUAUUUUAUUCAUUUGUUUUGUUCAGAGUUAUGUUAGUCCCUCUUUUUGGUUUAUAGUUGCAUAUCAAUGUAUGGCUCGACAUGCUAGUUCACUAUAAACAAAGCUCUGAUACCAACCUGUCACACCCCCGAACCAGACGGCGGAAACGUCCGGGGGCUGUCGUGACUCAAUUGAAUACCAUAACAUUGAAUAUAUAUGAAACAAAACAACAUUCGUCACCAUUCAUCAACAUAGUACAACCAGUAGUGUUUACAUGUCAUACAUUGUUUAAGACAUUACAUUUCCAAAAAUUAAUGUUGUUUGGUUCAUUCAAAAAUAAACUGCAACCGUCACUGAGUAUGAUUUCCCUUGAUUCACUGGUUCCCUGAGAAUACAAGUAUUUUGAAAAACGUCAACAUAUGAAAUGUUGGUGAGUUCAUAAGUAGUGUUUGAAAUCGAAUGUUUAUAUUGUUUGAAAAACCACCAGAAAAUCCGAUAUUUUCUGAAAAGAAAAGCUUUCAAAAACGUUUGUGAAGAUCCAUAGGUAUGCUUGUUUGUUUCUAUACUUGCAAAAAUUGUUCAUUUAAGAUGUAUGCGUUUAAAAUCUGUAUGUGAUAAAAACCCUAGGGAAACCCGAUGUUCCCCUAGUUCUUUUGAAAUCCAUUGAGUUGCGUUGAAACCAUUACAAAAAUAGUAGUAUCGGUCCCAAGCGACGUUGGAAGGUUCUCGAGCAUUGAUUAUUUACUACAAACCCGCAUUACACAAAUGCCCGGUUUAUAGAUAUACCAACGAUUCCCGAAGGCGUCGUCAGUACUAAUCACGUUAUCCAAUCGCCCGGACUAUGAGUGGUCCCACAUCCGAAGAGAAAGAGGUCACGAAGACCCCGGUAACUCUAUUAACCGGCUGGGGAAAAAUGUGUGCGAGGGGUCCCCGACCCGCCUCGUAAAAUGUGUAGACUUUUCUAGCAAUACCAUGGCCCUUGGGGUCCAAUGAUACAAGCCAUUGAAAGUCACCCUACGUUGUGCCAAGUCGGUAAAACUCAACACUUCGUAGAAAAAAAAUGUCUUCGGGCCUUAAGAUCAGGUCAUUGGGCUAGCUAGGCCCAACAAACAAGAUUUUACACUUUUGGGGCCCAAAGAUGGUGCGUAGACGUCUGUGCACUCUCACGUGCAUAUUGAAUUACCAAAUGUUUUCGUGUAUGAAUCGAGUUAUCGUCGUGUUAGUAUUCUUUUGGAUUGUUAUUGAUUCGAGACCGAAUCAAUUCGUUUAACAACGAUUUUUGGUAUUGUUGUGUAUUGUACUACGUAGGUAGUCGCAGUGCCAUUAUUUGAUCAAUUUGCGUGUAUUGAAUUAGCCUUGAAAGUUUUCUGUUUUCAGCCCCUCAUUGUUUGUAAAAUUUACUUUUUCAACCCUCUAAUUAAAUAACUUUCCGGUUUGGUCCUUAAAUCAUUUUUCUUGACAUUUUAACACCAAAAAUUAUUGAAAUUAAUAUUUUUC